CGUAGGGUGCGAGCGUUAAUCGGAAUUACUGGGCGUUAAAGUGUGCGCAGGCGGCCGAGCAAGUCGAGUGUGAAAGCCCCGAGCUUAACUUGGGAACUGCGCUCGAAACUACUUGGCUGGAGUGUGGCAGAGGAAGGUGGAAUUCCACGUGUAGCGGUGAAAUGCGUAGAGAUGUGGAGGAACACCGAUGGCGAAGGCAGCCUUCUGGGCCAACACUGACGCUCAUGCACGAAAGCGUGGGGAGCAAACAGGAUUAGAUACCCUGGUAGUCCACGCCCUAAACGAUGAUGACUAGUUGUUGGAGGAGUUAAAUCCUUUAGUAACGCAGCUAACGCGUGAAGUCAUCCGCCUGGGGAGUACGGUCGCAGGAUUA
RNAcentral lists this ribosomal RNA (373 nucleotides) under uncultured organism. RNAcentral describes it as "bacterial SSU rRNA". It matches the Rfam family "Bacterial small subunit ribosomal RNA", at positions 526 to 896 of the family's 1533-position model. The record is from RNAcentral.